AGAGUUUGAUCCUGGCUCAGAUUGAACGCUGGCGGAAUGCUUUACACAUGCAAGUCGAACGGCAGCACGGGGGCAACCCUGGUGGCGAGUGGCGAACGGGUGAGUAAUACAUCGGAACGUGCCCAGUCGUGGGGGAUAACUACGCGAAAGCGUAGCUAAUACCGCAUACGAUCUAAGGAUGAAAGCGGGGGACCGUAAGGCCUCGCGCGAUUGGAGCGGCCGAUGGCAGAUUAGGUAGUUGGUGGGGUAAAGGCUCACCAAGCCGACGAUCUGUAGCUGGUCUGAGAGGACGACCAGCCACACUGGGACUGAGACACGGCCCAGACUCCUACGGGAGGCAGCAGUGGGGAAUUUUGGACAAUGGGCGCAAGCCUGAUCCAGCCAUUCCGCGUGCAGGAUGAAGGCCCUCGGGUUGUAAACUGCUUUUGUACGGAACGAAAAGGCUCCUUCUAAUACAGGGAGCUCAUGACGGUACCGUAAGAAUAAGCACCGGCUAACUACGUGCCAGCAGCCGCGGUA
Molecule: ribosomal RNA, 519 nt
Filed under: uncultured Pseudomonadota bacterium
Lineage: Bacteria; Pseudomonadati; Pseudomonadota
Description: bacterial SSU rRNA
Rfam family: Bacterial small subunit ribosomal RNA
Source: RNAcentral